UCAGUAGAGCUCAGUCGGUACAGCACCAGACUCUUAAUCUGGUGUCGCGGGUUCGAGCCCCGCAUUGAG
Caenorhabditis briggsae is the source of this 69-nucleotide non-coding RNA. Lineage: Eukaryota; Metazoa; Nematoda; Chromadorea; Rhabditida; Rhabditidae. The record is from Rfam.